RNAcentral lists this ribosomal RNA (1352 nucleotides) under uncultured marine eukaryote. Its description in RNAcentral is "SSU rRNA". It matches the Rfam family "Eukaryotic small subunit ribosomal RNA", at positions 411 to 1775 of the family's 1831-position model. The record is from RNAcentral.
CACUUCUAAGGAAGGCAGCAGGCGCGCAAAUUACCCAAUCCUGACUCAGGGAGGUAGUGACAAGAAAUAACAAUAAACCGGCUUAUGCCGGUUUAAUUGGAAUGAGUACAAUUUAAACAUCUUAACGAGGAACAAUUGGAGGGCAAGUCUGGUGCCAGCAGCCGCGGUAAUUCCAGCUCCAAUAGCGUAUACUAAAGUUGUUGCAGUUAAAAAGCUCGUAGUUGGAUUUCUGUGGGGACGGAGCGGCCGGCCGCAACACGCGGUUCGAGCUAGCGCUUUCCCUACAUCCUGCCGCGAACCGUGCUACCAUUAAUUUGGUGGCGCCGGGGAUCGGCUCGAUUACUUUGAGAAAAAUAGAGUGUUCAAAGCAGGCCACAUGCCUUGAAUAAGUUAGCAUGGAAUAAUAACUAAGGACUUCGGUUCUAUUUUGUUGGUGUUCGGGACUGAAGUAAUGAUUGAUAGGGACAGUUGGGGCGGUCUGUAUUCCAAAGCGAGAGGUGAAAUUCUUAGACCUUCGGAAGACAAACAGCUGCGAAAGCGUUCCGCAAGGAUGUUCCCUUUGAUCAAGAACGAAAGUUGGGGGAUCGAAGACGAUCAGAUACCGUCGUAGUCUCAACUAUAAACUAUACCAGCUAGGGAUCGGCCAACGUUAUUUUAUACCGACUUGGUCGGCACCUUAUGAGAAAUCAAAGCAUCUGGGUUCCGGGGGGAGUAUGGUCGCAAGGCUGAAACUUAAAGGAAUUGACGGAAGGGCACCACCAGCCGUGGAGCCUGUGGCUUAAUUUGACUCAACACGGGAAAACUUACCAGGUCCAGACAUAGUAAGGAUUGACAGAUUGAUAGCUCUUUCUUGAUUCUGUGGGUGGUGGUGCAUGGCCGUUCUUAGUUGGUGGAGUGAUUUGUCUGGUUAAUUCCGUUAACGAACGAGACCCCAGCCUGCUAAAUAGCGCGUGUGAGCUUUGCUCGCAGCGAGCUUCUUAGAGGGACUAUGAUGCGCGAUAGCACAUGGAAGUUUGGGGCAAUAACAGGUCUGUGAUGCCCUUAGAUGUUCUGGGCCGCACACGGGCUACACUGGCGCCUGCAACGAGCAUAUCAGCUGGCCCGAGAGGGUCUUGGCUAAUCUUUUGAACCGGCGCCGUGCUUGGGAUUGACCUUUGCAAUUGUUGGUCAUGCAACGAGGAAUGCCUUGUAAACGCGAGUCAUCAGCUCGCAUUGAAUACGUCCCUGCCCUUUGUACACACCGCCCGUCGCUCCUACCGAUGAAUGUUCCGAUGAAAUUUUCGGAGAGCACCUGUGAACUUGGCUCUGCCUUGCGAACGGGAGGCUCAAAGUCACUUAAAUCUGAACAUUUC